Molecule: ribosomal RNA, 466 nt
Filed under: uncultured bacterium
Lineage: Bacteria
Description: partial 16S ribosomal RNA
Rfam family: Bacterial small subunit ribosomal RNA
Source: RNAcentral
GACGAACGCUGGCGGCGCGCCUAACACAUGCAAGUCGAACGAGCGAGAGAGAGCUUGCUUUCUCGAGCGAGUGGCGAACGGGUGAGUAACGCGUGAGGAACCUGCCUCAAAGAGGGGGACAACAGUUGGAAACGACUGCUAAUACCGCAUAAGCCCACGACCCGGCAUCGGGUAGAGGGAAAAGGAGCAAUCCGCUUUGAGAUGGCCUCGCGUCCGAUUAGCUAGUUGGUGAGGUAACGGCCCACCAAGGCGACGAUCGGUAGCCGGACUGAGAGGUUGAACGGCGACACUGGGACUGAGACACGGCCCAGACUCCUACGGGAGGCAGCAGUGGGGAAUAGUGCACAAUGGGGGAAACCCUGAUGCAGCGACGCCGCGUGGAGGAAGAAGGUCUUCGGAUUGUAAACUCCUGUUGUUGAGGAAGAUAAUGACGGUACUCAACAAGGAAGUGACGGCUAACUACGUG